Molecule: long non-coding RNA, 1690 nt
Organism: Heterocephalus glaber (naked mole-rat)
Lineage: Eukaryota; Metazoa; Chordata; Mammalia; Rodentia; Bathyergidae
Source: RefSeq, a predicted model, not a curated record
AUUGCCCUAUUAUUCACUAAAAAGCUCAUUUUAUAUCUCUUUCAGAAAAAAAAGCCUUCAGAUAAGAAUUCCACCACUUUCCCCCACCAAUUUAUAAAACAUAUCUGCUUGUCAUAAUAAUUUUUCUUUCUUUCCCUUUGUUCUGCUUUUAUCAAAGUCCAAUUCUUCACUAGUUUCAAGUCCACCUGAGACUUAAAUCCUGGUAAACCUAUGUCUUGGGUGGGCAUAGCAAGGAUGAUCACAGCCGUUAUGACCUCUUUAUUAGCUGUCCAGUGGUUGUUGGAAUGCAGAACUACUGGACAUCCACCAAGGCAUUCUUUUCUAUGUGGGAACUAAUGCCUUGGGGGUCCAAGAUGCUUUUGCUGACUUUCUCCCAGGCUGACCCUCAUAUGAGCUCCAUUUAGAUGUGAACCCCUGGUCUUACCCUGACCUGUAUGAUCCUAAAGCCAAAUGGAGGCUCAGGUAUAUAGUAUCCCCUUCCAACCCUCUUCCUUGCAAAUUUACCCUCAAAGGUAGGUGCUUUGAGGCUGUUAGUUUUGCAGUACUUGUGGUUGAAACUUUGCCCCAUUUCCCUCCUGUGCUGGAGCAGGCUGGGCAUCCCCUGGUCCUCAUUGUCAACUCUCCAUUUCCAAAUCCCUCUUAGAACACUUGUAUAUCUUCUGUGCAAUGUGUAAUAAAAUAUCUCUCUUGUUCUUUUAUUUUAAGGCCAAGUCAUCAGUGUAGACUUUGAAGCACUUAACCUAUGUGUUUCUCAAGAGUAUGCUCUUUGGAUUAUCUUCUGUCCCUCUCUGCUUUUUCCCAUGGAAUUAUUAGAAUUUUACUAUCUGAGAAUGAGUAUAAGUGUCAAAAGGAGAAGAAAAAGAUGAGAAGCCAGAUGACCAGUAAGGAAGCUGACUUGUAUACACAUGCAGGAGAUUCUCUAGGAAUAUAUUAAGAAGUAAAUAUUUUGCAUAUCUUCAACUUUAUGAGAGUGUCUAGAACCUGUCCAUUUCCAUGAAAAUUUUGAAUUGACAUCUCCAAGUAAAGAAAACAAAGCAACAGUGAAAUUAGUGGAAAUUGCAUCAAAUUUACAAAUCUGUUUGGUAAGGACUGACAUCUUUACAAUGUUGUUUUCCAAUUUGUGAUCAUAGUAUAUCACUGUUGACUUAUAUAUUUAAAUGACCUCCAAAGGCAACAUAAUUUUAUCCAUCAAGGUUUUGCAUACUUUUGUUAAACUUAUUCCUAAACAGUGAUAUUGUUUUUGCUUUAAUAAAUGUUAUAUUCUGAGGUUUUAAUUUCCAUUUGUGGCUUUAAAACAUUGCAUACUUUUGAUAAUAACUUUUGCAUCCAGACCAUCACUGAAUUCUUUCAUUAAUUUGCAUAAAUUUCACGUAAAAUGUUGAAUAGAAUUAGUAUUGUCAGACAUUCAGUUUUCAAAUUUCCAAGGCACGCUUUCAAUAGCUCCUUAAUACUUAUAUCUUGGUAACAAAAUUGCAUGAGGCUUAUCAAAUAGACCAGAAUAUGUUCUCAUUUCUUCCUCUGGAAUUUGCAAAAGAGAAAUUGCUUUGUCUUUGAUCAUCUGUUAAAGUAAGAAGUAAAGUCUGAAGCUUUCUUUGUAUAAAGAUUUUGAUCGCUUAAUUUAUUUUAUGUUUACAGAAAUAUAGAAUUCCCAUUUUCUAUUUUACCUUACUCAUGUUGGGCAUGGUAUCUA